This is a small nucleolar RNA of Corylus avellana, 97 nucleotides long. RefSeq annotates it as small nucleolar RNA Z266. NCBI's taxonomy places the organism in Eukaryota, Viridiplantae, Streptophyta, Magnoliopsida, Fagales, Betulaceae. The record is from RefSeq and is a predicted model, not a curated record.
AGGUGGCAAGAAUGAUGAUUCAAUUAGAUGUGUGAAAGGAUAAUUCCUUUUUGAACUCAAUUAUUUGAGGCAUAUUUGAUUGUCUGACUUGUUGCUU